This 492-nucleotide ribosomal RNA is filed under the name uncultured bacterium. RNAcentral's name for it is "partial 16S ribosomal RNA". It matches the Rfam family "Bacterial small subunit ribosomal RNA", at positions 29 to 507 of the family's 1533-position model. The record is from RNAcentral.
AGUGGACGCUGGCGGUAGGCCUAACACAUGCAAGUCGAACGGCAGCACAGUAAGAGCUUGCUCUUACGGGUGGCGAGUGGCGGACGGGUGAGGAAUACAUCGGAAUCUACUUUUUCGUGGGGGAUAACGUAGGAAAACUUACGCUAAUACCGCAUACGACCUACGGGUGAAAGCAGGGGAUCUUCGGACCUUGCGCGAUUGAAUGAGCCGAUGUCGGAUUAGCUAGUUGGCGGGGUAAAGGCCCACCAAGGCGACGAUCCGUAGCUGGUCUGAGAGGAUGAUCAGCCACACUGGAACUGAGACACGGUCCAGACUCCUACGGGAGGCAGCAGUGGGGAAUAUUGGACAAUGGGCGCAAGCCUGAUCCAGCCAUACCGCGUGGGUGAAGAAGGCCUUCGGGUUGUAAAGCCCUUUUGUUGGGAAAGAAAAGCAGCAGGUUAAUACCCCGCUGUUCUGACGGUACCCAAAGAAUAAGCACCGGCUAACUUCGUG